This 271-nucleotide ribosomal RNA is filed under the name uncultured archaeon. RNAcentral describes it as "partial 16S ribosomal RNA". It matches the Rfam family "Archaeal small subunit ribosomal RNA", at positions 728 to 998 of the family's 1478-position model. The record is from RNAcentral.
AUUAGAUACCCGCGUAGUCCCAGCUGUAAACGAUGCGCGUUAGGUGUAUCGGUGACCACGAGUCACCGAGGUGCCGAAGGGAAACCGUGAAACGUGCCGCCUGGGAAGUACGGUCGCAAGGCUGAAACUUAAAGGAAUUGGCGGGGGAGCACCACAACAGGUGGAGCCUGCGGUUUAAUCGGACUCAACACCGGGAAGCUCACCGGAUAAGACAGCUGAAUGAUAGCCGGGUUGAAGACUCUGCUUGACUAGCUGAGAGGAGGUGCAUGGC